RNAcentral lists this ribosomal RNA (440 nucleotides) under uncultured bacterium. RNAcentral describes it as "partial 16S ribosomal RNA". It matches the Rfam family "Bacterial small subunit ribosomal RNA", at positions 338 to 795 of the family's 1533-position model. The record is from RNAcentral.
CCUACGGGUGACAGCAGUGGGGGAUAUUGCACAAUGGGGGGAACCCUGAUGCAGCGACGCCGCGUGGGUGAAGAAGCGCCUCGGCGCGUAAAGCUCUGUCAGCAGGGAAGAAAAUGACGGUACCUGAACAAGAAGCCCCGGCUAACUACGUGCCAGCAGCCGCGGUAAUACGUAGGGGGCAAGCGUUAUCCGGAUUUACUGGGUGUAAAGGGGGCGCAGACGGGGAUGCAAGCCAGGAGUGAAAGCCCGGGGCCCAACCCCGGGACUGCACUUGGAACUGCGAGGCUGGAGUGCAGGAGGGGCAGGCGGAAUUCCUGGUGUAGCGGUGAAAUGCGUAGAUAUCAGGAGGAACACCGGUGGCGAAGGCGGCCUACUGGACUGCAACUGACGUUGAGGCCCGAAAGCGUGGGGAGCAAACAGGAUUAGAUACCCGAGUAGUC